Long non-coding RNA from Biomphalaria glabrata, 3853 nucleotides. RefSeq lists it as uncharacterized. NCBI's taxonomy places the organism in Eukaryota, Metazoa, Mollusca, Gastropoda, Planorbidae. The transcript is spliced from 2 exons. The record is from RefSeq and is a predicted model, not a curated record.
UAACAACCUUAUGGGAGUGCUUAUAUCCAUUACCACUUCUGGCAAUAACAACCUUAUGGAAGUGCUUAUAUCCAUUACCACUUCUGGCAAUAACAACCUUAUGGAAUCCUAGUCUUGUAAAAGUUUAUUUAAGCUCAAUUGUUACAGGAGCUUGAUUUCCUUUCCUAUCAUUAGUUUCCCUGACUUUAUGUUCUACAUUAUAUAUAACUUGAAUUUCCAUCACUACCAUGGAAUGGCCGCUUGUGGAUAAGGAAUGAAGGUUAUGAAGCCACUGAGAGUUACAUUUUGAUUCCCUGUUUGUCUUUUAAUGUUCUUUUUAGAAAUGGCUCUAUGAUGGAGUCAAGGAAAAGACUGAGAAAUAUGCCUUGAAAUUUAAAUUCAUUUACAUGUUUGGAGAAUAUAUGGGAAACAACAACAAUAAUAAACCUUAACUGGUAUAUAUGUGUCCAUGUUAGCCAAGUGAACAUUGUUUUAGAUUUGGUGACCUCUGUUUUAACUAAUAUUGAAAAUUUGAUUAUCUUAAUAAGAAUGACAUAAAACUCAGUACAUGAUCUAAAAAAAAGCAUUCUUAUUCUAAAAAGAAUGGUUCUAUCUUUAACAUUUCCAAUGUUUUAUCUUCAUUAUCAGUAUCCUAGUCAUAAAACUAUUUCAAUGCACUAAAUAUAACUAGUAAAGUAAAAUUCCCCUUUCAGACCUUGCGAUCUAUAGGGCAGAUGAUGUAAGGGUCUGUUUCUAUGGAUAAUGGUUAACAAGGGUGUCAUGUGGCCAGAACAAUGACCAACCACCUUUACUUUCCCUAACGAAUUUGAGGUACCCAUGAGGUGGGUGGACUCAUGAGCAUUCUAAGAAUCCUGAAAUUGUAAAAAAAAAUCCCAGUCUUCACCAAGAUUAAAUCUAAGACCCUCAGUUUGGAAGCCAAGUGUUGUCCCUAUCAGCCACAGCACCGCCAAAAUAAAACUAAAUUAUUCAUUUUCUCUUACUACAGAUUAAAUAUAAUUGUACUAAAUUUCUACCAUUGUUCUACAGGUCAUGGCAACAUUGUGAAUAUCGUAAACCAUGCAGAGAUAACGGCACUUGACUUGUUCACCAAUUACUACCUCCAAUCAUGUUCGAACAUUCAAGUGUGAGUGUGCUGCACCGGGUUACUAUGGUGACAGGUGUGAAAAUAAAUGUCCAAAAGAUUUGUCAGCUAAGGAGCCUAAAAUGUUGGCCUGUUUACAAAUAUGAGAUCUUCCUUAACUACACAAGUACCUUACAGAAGAAGGCUACUCACUUGUGUUUGGAUAUGCCUGCUGUACCAAGGCUCACAUAGACUGGAUAUUUAUAUAGCCUAAUAUUAUGUUACUGACAAUUAUCUAAGUAUUGCAUGUCCUGUCCAAGCCUCAAUGACUAAGAUAAUUAAAGAUAUUCAUGAUUAUAAGAUAAGUAGAAUGCAAUGAAAAUCAAAGAUGCCGGUAUUAAAACAAGAAAAAGUAGGCAACUGUAUAGCUUACUUUUCUACUAUCUAUAAUGUUUGUAGAUUCUAAAGUUAGAAAGUGUCUUUUUUUAAUGACACAUUGCCUGUCAAUUCUGUUUAGCUUAAUCUUUUUUUUUAAUAUAGUGCCUAUCACCUUAAGUGAUGGUCAAGCUCAACUGAUAUUAUUCUAAGCGGCUUUUUUCUCUGGGAAUUAUUCAACCACAGAAGCUGUGAGGGACAGGGCCGGUCUUAGGCCACUGCAGCCUAUGUGGUCGCAGUGGGCCCCGCGCUUUUAUAGGCCCCGCGCUAUUUAAUUAAACCAUUAUAACUUAUAUAUAAUAACAAGGUUUCCACGGCCUCCUGAGUUUCAGGAAAUUUCCCGAAAUUAUUAAAGUCUCAUGAAAAACGGACAAUAUUGUCAUAUUUGGGCUGCCAAAAAAUAAAAACAGCAUUGUGAGCUUUCAUUUAAUUAAAAUUUUUUGCAAAGAAUAUUUUCUAACUAAAAUAAUCUUAAUUUUGACAUUAUGCUUAUCCCUACCCAGACAAGGCCCCUCGCAAUCCGUUUCGCAUAGGGCCCCGCAAUAGCUAGGACCGGCCCUGGUGAGGGAUAUCUGAAAUCCAUUGCUGACUUGUCUAGAAAGACUUCCAUCCAUUCAGUGAUAAAAGAUUAAGUGUACACAACUUUUAGUAGUCACCACAUAACACUUACAUUUUGAUGCUCAAGACAAUACUGUUCAUGAAUGGUUUAGUUUUCUUUAUGCUGAGAGUGUCCAAGAAAGAUAAGGUCAAAGGUUAAUUGGAGUUGUUUUUUUUUAUGCUGUGACAGUGUUAAAUUUCCCUUGUGUUUUUGUAUGAGUUUAAAGACAUUAACCAUAUUUUUUGUUUUACAAAUGUAGGACGAACAUGUUCAUAAACUUUGUCUUUGAAUCUGAAAUUGUAAAACACUUAGAGAAAAAACUUACAAUGUUUUGUUUUUUAAUUUAAAUUUACCAGGUACCUGCUAUUCAUUUACUUUGACUGUUGACUUAAAGUUAGAAAUUAAACAAAGAUUUCUUUGAAAUAUAUUUGUUAAUGACUAUAGGCAUUAAAGAGAGUUGACACAGCUAACUGUACUUUUCAACAAGAUAAUGUCUUAAAGAAAUUAAGAGCUUUUGAUGGAAUUCUGUGGUUGAAUAACACAAGUAAAGUUAAUCAAUCACAGGAGUCCAUCAAAAAUUUAAAAGGCUAAAAAAAUAUAGAACAUUAAAUUUAAUUUUUGAGAUUACAUAUUCUUUAUGUAGAAUCUUUUUUGAACAAAGUUUUCCAGUAUAGGUAGACUUAGGAACUAAUGAUAACUGGAUAUAUUUUUUAUUUGAAACCACUGGCAUGUAUUUAACUUGUUACUAAUACUUUUUGAUAUCUGCAAUAUCAACUGUAGUUUUCUUUGAAGAGUUCUAUAUGAAAAUGUUACUUCUGAACACUGCUGAAUUACUAGAUUUUAUUCAAUUACCGGGUAUGUUUUGUAAAUGAAAUAUUGUACAAUGGCAUAUUUGUUUGUAUUAUAGAAUUAAGGUUUUUACAGCUAUAUAUUAAAAACAUCUUAAAUUUAAUGUAGUUUCUGCACUGAAUAAUUUUUAAUUUUUUUUUAUAAUUUAUACUAAUUUUGUUAUGUUUGUAUAUUAGUAGAAUAUGAAUAUCAUAUUAAAGGCAUUUAUUUAUUUACAUUAUAGUUUUUAUAUUCAUUGACAGACUUCAGUGGAGAUUCUUUGUACAUUAGACCUUGUUGGUAGUGUCAAUGUUAUUAAGUUUACAUAAAGUAUUUAAGUAUAGUCCUGGGUGUUCACUACAUUGUUCAUUAAACAAUGACCUGGCAGAGUUUUAUACCAUGUGGAUACAUCUGCAAGCUGAUUAGCUUUUAAAAUUUGGUUUUGACAGAACAAAUAUCUGUUUAAGAGGGUAUACAACUCUAGCAAUAAUAUCGUUGACAAUAAAAUGUUCUGAUCAAGUUUAUAUUUUUUGAACAGAAUAUGCAAAUGUGUUAAAUAUACAUUUUUUUUUAUUUUAAGAAUAACAACUGAUAUUUAGUUUUAUCCCUUUGUAUCUUUCUACAGUAGAUAUAUUGCCAUUAUAUUUUUUUUUAAAUUCUAGGUAGUAUAACUUCUAAUUGAAUUGUCUCCCUUUCAAAAUCAAAUGUCUAAAUGAAGUUUUUUUUUUUUAUUCUACACAAUCUUUUACUACUAAAAGUAAUAUCAGGACCACCAAUAAACAUUUAUAUAAGCAGCAGUUUCAGUAUUAUUGUGAUAUUCCAAAAAGUUGGUUGUUAACUUUAAAUAAGCUGUGCCUCUUAUACAUUGAUUUUAUUGACUCAUUUUUAUAUUUAUGUAUACUUUGCAAUAAAGUGGCCUUCAUUUUACAAUA